GGGGGUAUAGCUCAGCUGGGAGAGCGCUUGAAUGGCAUUCAAGAGGCCAGCGGUUCGAUCCCGCUUAUCUCCACCA
This 76-nucleotide transfer RNA is filed under the name Sporomusa termitida. RNAcentral's name for it is "tRNA-Ala". It matches the Rfam family "tRNA". From Rfam's summary of the family: Transfer RNA (tRNA) molecules are approximately 80 nucleotides in length. Their secondary structure includes four short double-helical elements and three loops (D, anti-codon, and T loops). Further hydrogen bonds mediate the characteristic L-shaped molecular structure. tRNAs have two regions of fundamental functional importance: the anti-codon, which is responsible for specific mRNA codon recognition, and the 3' end, to which the tRNAs corresponding amino acid is attached (by aminoacyl-tRNA synthetases). tRNAs cope with the degeneracy of the genetic code in two manners: having more than one tRNA (with a specific anti-codon) for a particular amino acid; and 'wobble' base-pairing, i.e. permitting non-standard base-pairing at the 3rd anti-codon position. The record is from RNAcentral. Lineage: Bacteria; Bacillati; Bacillota; Negativicutes; Selenomonadales; Sporomusaceae. RNAcentral also lists the same sequence under 26 other names.